RNAcentral lists this ribosomal RNA (498 nucleotides) under uncultured bacterium. Its description in RNAcentral is "partial 16S ribosomal RNA". It matches the Rfam family "Bacterial small subunit ribosomal RNA", at positions 29 to 507 of the family's 1533-position model. The record is from RNAcentral.
ACGAACGCUGGCGGCGUGCCUAAUACAUGCAAGUCGAGCGAAGUUUUUUUGGUGCUUGCACCGGAAAAACUUAGCGGCGAACGGGUGAGUAACACGUAAAGAACCUGCCUCAUAGACUGGGACAACUAUUGGAAACGAUAGCUAAUACCGGAUAAUAGCAUUAACUGCAUGGUUGAUGUUUAAAAGUUGGUUUUGCUAACACUAUGAGAUGGCUUUGCGGUGCAUUAGCUAGUUGGUGGGGUAAAGGCCUACCAAGGCGACGAUGCAUAGCCGACCUGAGAGGGUGAUCGGCCACACUGGGACUGAGACACGGCCCAGACUCCUACGGGAGGCAGCAGUAGGGAAUCUUCCGCAAUGGGCGAAAGCCUGACGGAGCAACGCCGCGUGAGUGAAGAAGGAUUUCGGUUCGUAAAGCUCUGUUGUUAGGGAAGAAUGAUUGUGUAGUAACUAUACACAGUAGAGACGGUACCUAACCAGAAAGCCACGGCUAACUACGUG